Molecule: ribosomal RNA, 497 nt
Filed under: uncultured bacterium
Lineage: Bacteria
Description: partial 16S ribosomal RNA
Rfam family: Bacterial small subunit ribosomal RNA
Source: RNAcentral
GAUGAACGCUGGCGGCGUGCCUAAUACAUGCAAGUCGAGCGGGCGGACGAGAAUCUUGCUGCUGAGAUGUUAGCGGCGGACGGGUGAGUAACAUGGGGAUAAGCUAAAUAGAAGACUGGGAUAACUUCGGGAAACCGGGGCGAAGACCGGAUAAUAGAAUGAACCGGAUGGUUCAAUAGUGAAAGACGAUCUUGCUGUCGAUUAUAGAUGGAUCCGCGGUGCAGUAGCGAGUUGGUAAGGUAACGGCUUACCAAGGCAACGAUGCAUAGCCGACCUGAGAGGGUGAUCGGACAGACUGGAAGUGAGACACGGUCCAGACUCCUACGGGAGGCAGCAGUAGGGACUCUGCCGCGAUGGGCGAAAGCCUGACGGAGCAACGGCGCGUGAGUGAUGAAGGUCUUCGGAUCGUAAAACUCUGUUAUUAGGGAAGAACAUAUGUUUAAGUAACUGUGCACAUCUUGACGGUACCUAAUCAGAAAGCAACGGCUAACUCCGUG